Aedes aegypti (yellow fever mosquito) is the source of this 1090-nucleotide long non-coding RNA. RefSeq lists it as uncharacterized. The transcript is spliced from 2 exons. Lineage: Eukaryota; Metazoa; Arthropoda; Insecta; Diptera; Culicidae. The record is from RefSeq and is a predicted model, not a curated record.
ACUUGAAAUUAACGGUGAUAAUGGUUAUCGUGUGCCUCCAAUUAGCCAUCACAGUGUACGUGAUGUAUAAAAAGCACUCCCGUAGAGAGGCCUUGAAAGUUGCAAAAUCGGUCGCCUCAUUACAGGUUUAAAUCAAAGACGAAAUAAGAACUCAAAGUAUCUAAGACAAAACGCUGAUCGAAGAAAAUUGUUAAAAGUGAAAACCCCCCAGCUAAGGGACAAUCACAACCAAUGUGAGUGAUACAGAAAAAUAAACAGUUCAAACGAAGCCACCAUCUAUGCCGUGUGCAUAAAAAUAUCGAAAAGUGUUAUCAGCGAUGAAGCUAAUCAAAGCCCACGAAAAUACCGAACGAGUGUUCCUGCGUACUGAAUACCAACAGGGGUGAGCGUUGAGGAGAGCGCCUCCGCCAUCCACUAUCUACUAAACCAUCAAGGUGUUGAGGAGAGCGCCUCCACCUGAAAUACACUCGUGUGGAGACGCGAGCCAAUGUCGUUCAUCAGCAAGCAGCAGAGACAGGAAGUUUUCAACAAAUGCGUGGGUAAAACGCAUGUAUCACAACGACAACACAUAGCUACGACGCUAGAUGGAAUUAUCCAGAAUUGAACCCAACACCGGGAAUAACUUCAAUUAGACAACAGCACAGACAACAACAAUAACAGAUAACAACAGCAACGGUAGAAGCUGCCCAUCGGCCACGCACGGAACGAUGCCCAUCCAUUCCUUCGCGUGGAAAACCAGCGCAGCAUAAUCCAUGAAACCAGAGACUUGCACCGGACGCGUACCCACCGUGAGAUGCUGACGACGACGACGACGACGACGACAGCAUGGCAGGCUAGGAACAGUGUUUUGAGUCAGCAGCUAAUAGAAUCAGGCUUAAACUUCAAUUAUCCAUUUUCAAAUAAAGAAAUUCAUUCCGUCUUUGUAGUUCGUAUCCUGAACAACUCGUUUAGAACAAUUCAGAAGUCCCUAAAUUUAUUUUAAUUCUUUUUCCAAGUUCAAGUGUGAAAUUCGGUUUCCACAACAAGUCAGGCCUUUGUAAUUUGGAACGAUCGCAAUAAAUCAGUCUUAGAUUAACUUUCAACCCGUCAA